GAUGGUGAAAUCAUCUGUACAACAAACCCCUGUGACACAAGUUUGCCUACAUAACAAACCUGCACAUGUACCCCUGAAAUGAAAAGUUAAAAAAUUUUUUAAAAACACCAUUUACUUCCUGCGGGUGCACAGGCUGUGGCCAUCUACCUCUCUGUUGCUCUUGCCAUCAGAGAAGAUGGCCUUGGAGACGGUGCCGAAGGACCUGCGGCAUCUGCUGGCCUGUUUGCUGUGUUGACUGGUCAAGACUAUAGACCAGUUUGAAUAUGAUGGUUUUGACAAUUGUGAUGCAUAUCUACAAAUGAAAGGUAACUGAGAGAUGGUGUAUGACUCCACCAGCUCCUCCUUUGAUGGAAUCAUUGUGAUGAUGAGUCCAGAGGACAGCUGGGUCUUCAAGUGGCAGCGAGUCAGUAACUUUAAGCCAGGUGUAUAUGCGGUGUCAGUCACUGGUUGCCUGCCUCAAGGAAUCGUGCAGGAGCUGAAAAGUCGAGAAGGGCCUACAAAUCCAGAGACACAGCUAUAAAGACCUAGCAAGAUGCAGGGCUGCCAGCGUCUUUGCCGUCCACCACCUGCCUCUGCUUCUUGUUCUGAAACUAAAUGAGCAGAACUUCAAAUAAUUCCUUCCCUCCAAUUCAGACUCAGCUGACUGUUGAGAGAGCAGCACAUCAUUUUAUCAUUUUAUCUUCUUUGGACUACAAGUGGGGUGGGAGGGAUUUGGGUUGGUGUAUUAACAGAUGGAAUUGAGGAGAGAGUAGGAUGCUGAUUUUCCUACCCAUGGCCCAAGGCUGUGCCUUCCUUAUGCUGAGGACUCUAGGUCGAAUGUCAAUAAAUAUGAACCUCUAGGGGGAAAAAAAAAAAAAAAAAACACCAUUUUGCUAGUAAU
RNA transcript from Piliocolobus tephrosceles (Ugandan red Colobus), 880 nucleotides. It is a transcript of the gene named transcription elongation factor SPT4-A-like, with no coding region annotated. Lineage: Eukaryota; Metazoa; Chordata; Mammalia; Primates; Cercopithecidae. The record is from RefSeq and is a predicted model, not a curated record. The transcript has a single exon.